UUCCUGGAAUCCACUCAAGCUGUUGUGCUGAACUUUCACUCGACUGGUUUCCUUGCAGCGAUGCGUUUGGUGCAGAUUCGUUUCUCUCGUUCAGGUGAUUGGCAAACUCCUGCUCGGAAGGGCCAGAUUGUGGCAGGUAUUUCUCACCCAGUUAAUGUUACAUUGGAGACGUUAUGCUGUCCAAGAGAAUGGCAUGAAAACAGCGUGAAAAGGAAUAUCAGUGAAAUGUUAAGCAAGAAGCAAAAAGGAAAACUUUACAGCUACCUGCAUUCAGCUUUGGCUAAAUUCACAACUUUUCGUCGUAGAAGCAAUGAACAUUGACUAUAUGCAGAGAUUGUCACGGCUCAGGCUCCAAAGAUCUUCCUGCCCAUGGUGAUUGCCAUUGCAGCAGAGUCACAGCGUGGGGACCAGCAUGUGGGGCAGGUCAGGCAGCUUGUCACCCAGAGCCUGGGUGACCGUCCC
Molecule: long non-coding RNA, 462 nt
Organism: Columba livia (rock pigeon)
Lineage: Eukaryota; Metazoa; Chordata; Aves; Columbiformes; Columbidae
Exons: 4
Source: RefSeq, a predicted model, not a curated record